GCUCCUACCGAUUGAGUGAUCCGGUGAACCUUCUGGACUGAGCUUGGGCUUGAACCAAGAACGGGAAGUUAUGUAAACCUUAUCACUUAGAGGAAGGAGAAGUCGUAACAAGGUUUCC
Molecule: ribosomal RNA, 118 nt
Filed under: Intramacronucleata sp.
Lineage: Eukaryota; Ciliophora
Description: partial small subunit ribosomal RNA
Rfam family: Eukaryotic small subunit ribosomal RNA
Source: RNAcentral